RNAcentral lists this ribosomal RNA (509 nucleotides) under uncultured bacterium. Its description in RNAcentral is "partial 16S ribosomal RNA". It matches the Rfam family "Bacterial small subunit ribosomal RNA", at positions 28 to 523 of the family's 1533-position model. The record is from RNAcentral.
GACGAACGCUGGCGGCGUGCUUAACACAUGCAAGUGGUGCGGCGAACCAGGCUUCGGCCUGGGGCGAAGCCGCGCACGGGUGAGUAACACGUUGGCAAUCUGCCCCUUUGAUCGGGACAACCCGGGCAAACCCGGGCUAAUACCGAAUGCGGUGGCCGCUCAUGAGAGUCGCCACGAAAGAAAGCUUAGGCGUCCGCGAAGGGGUGAGCCCGCGGCCGAUGAGCUUGUUGGUGGGGUAAUGGCCUACCAAGGCAACGAUGGGUAGCUGGUCUGAGAGGACGAUCAGCCACACUGGGACUGAGACACGGCCCAGACUCCUACGGGAGGCUGCAGUGGGGAAUCUUGCGCAAUGAGCGACAGCUUGACGCAGCAACGCCGCGUGAGGGAAGAAGGCUUUCGGGUCGUAAACCUCUUUCAGUUAGGACGAAGCUUUAUUGGUUAAUAACCAAUUGGAGUGACGGUACUUUCAGAAGAAGCCCCGGCUAACUACGUGCCAGCCGCCGCAGUAA